UUAAAUGGAUGAAAUAUGAAGUUUUAUUAAAAGAAAAAGGGGUGAAAAGAACAAAGUUUUGUCCAUCUUUGUUCAUCAUAGCUGAAAGUUAGAGAAGAGAAAGGAGAGGAGAAAGCUCUUGAGUAUUCGGUCAUUAGGAGGAGGAAAAUUGAAGGCGGUUCGUGUGUGGAUCUCGUCAGCAUAUUGUCGCAAACAGGUGAGUCUUGAUGUGGGUGACUUGGAGCCGGAGGGGAUUCAGAGUGGCCAUUGUGAACACUUUUGGGUUUGAAAAAGAGACUGGUUUUCUUAAGUUAUUGUUAAUUACUAUUUAAGUUUUGGGUUGUAAUAAGACCAUUUUAACUUUAUUUUCUUCUUUGAUUUUCGAGAUUAUAUUAUUUUAAACAACUUUAAAUUGAUGGAUAA
Gossypium arboreum is the source of this 402-nucleotide long non-coding RNA. RefSeq lists it as uncharacterized. NCBI's taxonomy places the organism in Eukaryota, Viridiplantae, Streptophyta, Magnoliopsida, Malvales, Malvaceae. The record is from RefSeq and is a predicted model, not a curated record. The transcript has 3 exons.